AGUUUGAAAAGAGAGUUAAACAGUACGUGAAAUUGCUGAAAGGGAAACGCUUGAAGUCAGUCGCGUCGUCCGGAACUCAGCCUUGCUUUUGCUGGGUGCACUUUCCGGUUGACGGGUCAGCAUCGAUUUUGACCGUCGGAAAAGGGCUGGAGUAAUGUGGCACCCUCGGGUGUGUUAUAGACUCUGGUCGCAUACGGCGGUUGGGAUCGAGGAACGCAGCGCGCCGUAAGGCAGGGGUUCGCCCACUUUCGCGCUUAGGAUGCUGGCAUAAUGGCUUUAAACGACCCGUCUUGAAACACGGACCAAGGAGUCUAACAUACCUGCGAGUGUUUGGGUGGAAAACCCGAGCGCGUAAUGAAAGUGAAAGUUGAGACCCCUGUCGUGGGGGGCAUCGACGCCCGGACCUGACGUUCUCUGAAGGAUCCGCGGUAGAGCAUGUAUGUUGGGACCCGAAAGAUGGUGAACUAUGCCUGAAUAGGGUGAAGCCAGAGGAAACUCUGGUGGAGGCUCGUAGCGAUUCUGACGUGCAAAUCGAUCGUCAAAUUUGGGUAUAGGGGCGAAAGACUAAUCGAACCAUCUUGUUUCGCGC
RNAcentral lists this ribosomal RNA (589 nucleotides) under Ganoderma boninense. Its description in RNAcentral is "partial large subunit ribosomal RNA". It matches the Rfam family "Eukaryotic large subunit ribosomal RNA", at positions 373 to 955 of the family's 3401-position model. The record is from RNAcentral. Lineage: Eukaryota; Fungi; Basidiomycota; Agaricomycetes; Polyporales; Polyporaceae.